GAGUAGUAAUAGUUAUGGUCUUGAAACUCAAAGAAUUUGGCGGUAUUUUAAUCUAUUCAGAGGAACCUGUUCUGUAAUCGAUGAUCCACGAGGAUUUUACUUAAAUUUGUUUUCAAUUUGUAUACCGCCGUUAUUGAUUAUUUUAUAAGAAUAAUAAUUUUCUAAAAUUUUUAAAAAAAUAUCAGGUCAAGGUGCAGUUUAUGUUUAAGAAUGAAAUGGGUUACAAUAAAAUUAUUUAUACAGAUAAUAAAUUGAAAUAUUUAUUUGAAGGUGGAUUUGAUAGUAAAAUUUUUUAUUAUAAUAAUUUGAUUUUAGCUCUAAAAUAUGU
RNAcentral lists this ribosomal RNA (328 nucleotides) under Rosapha variegata. RNAcentral describes it as "partial 12S ribosomal RNA". Lineage: Eukaryota; Metazoa; Arthropoda; Insecta; Diptera; Stratiomyidae. The record is from RNAcentral.